This 460-nucleotide ribosomal RNA is filed under the name uncultured bacterium. Its description in RNAcentral is "partial 16S ribosomal RNA". It matches the Rfam family "Bacterial small subunit ribosomal RNA", at positions 338 to 795 of the family's 1533-position model. The record is from RNAcentral.
CCUACGGGAGGCAGCAGUAGGGAAUAUUGGGCAAUGGACGCAAGUCUGAACCAGCCAUGCAGCGUGCAGGAAGACGGCUCUAUGAGUUGUAAACUGCUUUUGUACGAGGGUAAACGCAGAUACGCGUAUCUGUCUGAAAGUAUCGGACGAAUAAGGAUAGGCUAACUCCGUGCCAGCCGCCGCGGUAAUACGGAGGAUUAAAGCGUUAUCCGGAUUUAUUGGGUUUAAGGGGUGCGUAGGCGGUCGGAGAAGUUAGAGGUGAAAUCCCGAGGCUCAACUUCGGAAUUGCCUCUGAUACUGUUCGGCUAGAGAGUAGUUGCGGUAGGCGGAAUGUAUGGUGUAGCGGUGAAAUGCUUAGAGAUCAUACAGAACACCGAUUGCGAAGGCAGCUUACCAAGCUACUUCUGACGUUGAGGCACGAAAGCGUGGGGAGCAAACAGGAUUAGAUACCCCUGUAGUC